Long non-coding RNA from Penaeus indicus, 227 nucleotides. RefSeq lists it as uncharacterized. NCBI's taxonomy places the organism in Eukaryota, Metazoa, Arthropoda, Malacostraca, Decapoda, Penaeidae. The transcript is spliced from 2 exons. The record is from RefSeq and is a predicted model, not a curated record.
UUCAGGCAAGAAUGUGAACGGCGUGACUUGGAUUAUGCUCGAAGGAUCGAUGAGGAGCUCCGGCGAGGGGAGAACGUGACCAGUUCCCCUGAGAUAGGAAGUGAAAUAAAACCCGUUCCAAGCUGGGAUGAGGAAGGUGACAAGACCUGUGAAGGCAAUGAUGACACAACAAGCCAGCCGGUUCAUUCAAGUGAAGUGCAGGUCCCAGCAGGAGAAGUUUUUGCAAG